GAUGAAGAACGUAGCGAAACGCGAUAUUUCUUGUGAAUUGCAGAAGUGAAUCAUCAGUUUUUGAACGCACAUUGCACUUUGGGGUAUCCCCCAAAGUAUACUUGUUUGAGCGUUGCUUCUCUCUUGGAAUUGCUUUGCUCUUCUAAAAUUUCGAAUCAAAUUCGUUUGAAAAACAACACUAUUCAACCUCAGAUCAAGUAGGAUUACCCGCUGAACUUAAGCAUAUCAAUAAGCGGAGGA
RNAcentral lists this unclassified non-coding RNA (240 nucleotides) under soil metagenome. RNAcentral's name for it is "partial contains 5.8S ribosomal RNA, internal transcribed spacer 2, and large subunit ribosomal RNA". The stretch from base 1 to 115 matches the Rfam family "5.8S ribosomal RNA", at positions 35 to 154 of the family's 154-position model. The record is from RNAcentral.